AGAAAGUGUUGCCUUUAAGGGAGACUCCGUUGCUUUCUCUGCAUCGUGAAUUCUUUUUUUUUAGCCCUCUGCUUUGCAUUCGCGCCACCCACUGGGCUCUUUGGUGGCCUUAUUAAGUUGGCGCCUCUAUGCAACUGCCAUCAGCCGGGAAAGUUUUUCGCAUACCUUCGAUGGUCUCGGUGCAUUCUAUACCCGGUUAGCUGAUUAAUCUUGAAUUAUAUACGAAAAUAAUCAGAAACAGAGAUGUUUUACCUCAGAUAUUUCUGUCUCAAUACAUUUACUGCAGUUUAAAAUUUGGUCAAGUAUUUUUUUGUAGUUCAACUACAAUAAUUUUGAUAGCAAGUAAGGCUCAUUCUGAUUUGUUUAGCCGUUUUAGGUCGAUUGAGUAGGGUAAUCUUUGAUCGACUCCUGUCGAGAGCUCUCCUAUAUAUUUUCACUCGCUCCAGUUUGUUGGCGUUGUCAUCGUUGCAACUUCAUUGUCAAAGUUGGCAAAGAGUCUUGAAGGGAAAGUUGGAGUGGGAAACUACAAAGAAAUGCACAAAAACUGCGUUGUGCAAAUACGGAGAAACGAGAGUGGCGAAAAACGAUGCAGCGGCCUGCCAGUUGGGCGCUAAUUAUAUGUAAAUAGCUGGAACGAAACCGCCGCUCGAGGUGCCAGAUAAUUGGCCCUCAUGCAACUGCCAAGUAUAGUUUACAGCCGAAGUGAUCAAGGGAAACAGUGUGCGAAGGAAAAAUGCUCAAAUUGUCGAGGCGUGACGGAAAUCAACUGCCGACUCUUCUUUACGGCAAAAACUGUUGGUAGAUAGAAUUAGAAAAAUUUAAAUGUGGCUACUUUGAAUGCCAAGGACUUUGGCCAAGUUACCUAACUUGUUACUUAACGUGUCCUAGGCAAUGACUGUUAGCUUAAUUUACGGAAACUUAAAUGGUACCUAAUGCAAUAGCAAUUAGCUCAAAUGCUGGAUGAAAUUCCUUUGCAUUUAGGUCAUUAGAGAAGAAAAAUUUCAUAACACUUUUCGGUGUGCGUGAGAAGGCAUUUUCCACCCCCCGGCCACUUCUUCUCCCCGGAGACAACAUUCAGGACAUAGAACAGCAUUACAAAAUUUCCCCAAAAAAUUCGUAGAAAUGCCAAAAUAAACGAGUGGGUUCGGUGGAAUGAGAUGGCGCAAGGUAAGGAUGUGGAGGAUGCUACCCACAUGAGCGACAGUAACCAACACGUACAAAACGCAUAAACAUUCUUGCCUAAGUGAGUUUGUACAUAAAUUUGGAGCAACUUGCGUUGCAGGAUGCGUUACAAGGAGACGAUUUUGUGUGGGGCUCUCAGGAUCUGUUUAAAGGGAGUGAAGGGGGGGAGACUGAAGCAGACUACUGUGAGUAGAGCUAAACUUACGCAAAAAUCCAUGGGAAACCAACCCCUGGCAAAUGCAACUUUACUUAGGAUGGAUAUCACUCAGCAAUUCGUCUUGUUAGCGUCAGUGUUGAUUCGAAGACAAUUAUUAGCUACCCAACUAUUUAAUACCAAUUACCGAUUACUGGUGUGCAGCUUGAAAGCUGCAAUUGAAAUUAUUCAACGAAUCAUGGCAAUAUCAUUGGCUGUUUGCAUUAUGCAAGCAUACCCGGUCCUUUGAGGCUUGAUGGCAUUUCCCGAGCACCUACACACACGCAGCCGGAAAAGAAGCAACUUUAGUAGCAUAUUUCACGGCGCUGCGUCCGAAGAGAGAGCGCUCUGAAGAGCGCCGCUCAGCGAAGAGAGAAGCCUUGGCAUUGGCAGGCCCCACUGUCCCCUGGUCCCUGGCUUUAUGACUAUGACGGAUAUGAUUGUUGGUCGGAGUGUUCCUUUCCCUUUUCCCUCCUCGAACUUGCCAC
Long non-coding RNA from Drosophila simulans, 1863 nucleotides. RefSeq lists it as uncharacterized. NCBI's taxonomy places the organism in Eukaryota, Metazoa, Arthropoda, Insecta, Diptera, Drosophilidae. The record is from RefSeq and is a predicted model, not a curated record. The transcript has 4 exons.